GCACUAACACACCCACAUUCUUUAUCUCAUGGUGCCUUAUAAAUACAGAGUGAACACACACAUUUGACACCAGUCAUUUUACUUUCUACACCAGGAAAAGUCUCGACCGCACUUGUCAACAAGACAAAAUGAGUGGAGAGGGCAAAGGGGAGGAAAUGCGAAACCAGAAGCCAGAGGAGGAGGAGGAGGAGAGCUCAGGAUCUGAGUCAGACGGACAAGGAGGAAGACGUAAGAAGGAGAAAGGAAAGAAAGGAAGAGAGCAUGGGAAAGAAAUGAGUGGACGUGGUGGACGUGGAGGUGGAGGUGGACGUGGGAAAAAUCCUUAAAUCAUCAUGCUGUGAUAGUGAUUGUAAAGAAUUAAAUACAACGCCAAUAAACUAAUCUAAGACAAAUGCAA
Molecule: long non-coding RNA, 397 nt
Organism: Larimichthys crocea (large yellow croaker)
Lineage: Eukaryota; Metazoa; Chordata; Actinopteri; Sciaenidae
Exons: 6
Source: RefSeq, a predicted model, not a curated record